Molecule: ribosomal RNA, 253 nt
Filed under: uncultured bacterium
Lineage: Bacteria
Description: partial 16S ribosomal RNA
Rfam family: Bacterial small subunit ribosomal RNA
Source: RNAcentral
UACGUAGGGUGCAAGCGUUAAUCGGAAUUACUGGGCGUAAAGCGUGCGCAGGCGGUUUUGUAAGUCUGUCGUGAAAUCCCCGGGCUCAACCUGGGAAUUGCGAUGAAGACUGCAAGGCUAGAAUCUGGCAGAGGGGGGUAGAAUUCCACGUGUAGCAGUGAAAUGCGUAGAGAUGUGGAGGAACACCGAUGGCGAAGGCAGCCCCCUGGGUCAAGAUUGACGCUCAUGCACGAAAGCGUGGGGAGCAAACAGG